Molecule: transfer RNA, 79 nt
Filed under: Leucobacter aridicollis
Lineage: Bacteria; Bacillati; Actinomycetota; Actinomycetes; Micrococcales; Microbacteriaceae
Description: tRNA-Leu
Source: RNAcentral
UUGGGUGUACGCGGGUACCCCUGUCCAAACGUGCGAGGGCAUGACGGGGUCGCAGGUUCAAAUCCUGUCAUCCCGACCA